Molecule: non-coding RNA, 2273 nt
Organism: Punica granatum (pomegranate)
Lineage: Eukaryota; Viridiplantae; Streptophyta; Magnoliopsida; Myrtales; Lythraceae
Source: RefSeq, a predicted model, not a curated record
AGAAUUAUAUAUGUCAUGCUCUUCAGGAAGAUUCUUCUGCUUAUCGCAGUUUCAAGAAGGUUCCCCUCCUUCUUGUCUAACCUCGCCACCAGUCCAAACCCUAAUCUCUCCGUUGUCCUCCAAUCACCACCACCACUGGAGCUGAGAAUGUCGCACUUCGGAAGAUCAGGUCCGCCGGACAUCUCGGACACCUACUCCCUUCUCGUCCUCAACAUCACCUUCCGUACAACUGCUGACGAUCUGUUCCCGCUCUUCGACAAGUACGGGAAGGUUGUUGAUAUCUUCAUUCCCCGGGACAGAAGGACUGGGGAAUCCCGUGGCUUUGCAUUUGUUCGGUACAAGUAUGCUGAUGAAGCGCAGAAGGCAGUGGACAGGCUUGAUGGUCUGACUAUAUCUCCAUUCUCCAGGAGAGUUGUUGAUGGCCGAGAAAUAACAGUUCAGUUUGCUAAGUAUGGACCAAAUGCAGAGAAGAUACACAAAGGAAGGAUUGUCGAAAUGCUUCCAAAGUCAAGGUACAGAUCAAGAAGUCGCAGCCCUAGGAGGAGGUCCCGUGAUGAUUACAGGGACCGGGAUUAUCGGAGGAGAAGCCGCAGCAGAAGUGUAGAUAGGUAUGAUCGUGAUAGGUAUCGUGGAAGGGACAGGGAUUACUAUCGUCGUAGCAGGAGCCGCAGUAUUAGUCCUGAUUAUAGAAAAGGUCGGGGCAGGGAUCGAUAUGAAGAUGACCGCCGCAGCCGAAGUCGAUCAGUGGACAGUGCUUCUCCUUGCCGGCGCAGUCCAACCCUUCGAAGAAGCCCUUCCCCACAAAGGAGCCUUUCUCCCGGGAGGAGCCUUUCCCCUCGAAGGAGCCUUUCCGCGCUGAGGAGCCCAUCACCGGGGUAUGAAAGGCCAGGUAGGCAUACUCUCAAUGGCCAUUCUCCUUCUAGGAGUCCAUCUCCUGGGGGUAGGCCUGCUGCUUCUCGGAGCCCAUCUCCUCAAAAUUCAGACGCAGAGGAUUGAGUAUUGACGAGGGAUGCAAUUGAUGCUUCUCGGACUCACUGUCUUCGUUGAUCAUUUCAGUCUGGAGAUUCCUGAGCCAUGGUUCAUACCGAACUUUAAGUGAUGCUAUCUGUAGGAUUAAAGUAAAUGUCCAAGGAAGAGUGGUGAGGCUGAUAAGUUGAGAUUGUAGCUGUUCACUUGAGGCUGUUCGUGAUUGUUGAUGCGAUGGGAUGAUCGUGAAUUUGUGGAUGAUUGCGUCAAUAUCCUGGUUAUAGCGUUGUGCUGGUAGAAGAACAGUGAUAGGUUACUUUUACGCUAAAGAUUCAAAAGCUGGUAAGGUUUUUGGGGAGUUUUUGACUCUAUCCACUUCCUUGGAUCUUAAUGUACUCUGAGGUCCUGAUUGUUUUUGUUUGAUGGUCAUACUAUGGCUGUUUGUUGCCGAGAAACUUUUGCCGUGAGCGGGGUUGUUGACUGCUGUCAUGGCCUUAGUGGAGGACUAGAAGCUGAGAACUCUUGAUUCGUAGCCCAUGCUGGAUCUUGAUUAGGUGUAUGAAUCCUUGAACUUCAUGCUGAUCCUGAGUAGGCUGCUGAGCUCUCUCCACAUCCGCCUCCAAAAAAAGGGUAACAUGUGUUGGUUUUGUUCUCAAAUUGAUCUGUUUGAUAAGUACUGCAGUUUUAGCUUAGCAUCGAAGAUUGCGGCUCCUGUUGCUUGAUGGGUUGAGAAAAACCAUAAUGCAUGUCGUCAAUAGCACUCGAACUGGGCCCUGAUGUUGAUCUCUGUAUCAUGUCUGUUGGUUCUGGAGCUACCAACGUUCUCCAGUGGACUGUGGACUGCUGGUGCUUUUGCUAUCAUCAUGGGGUUUGCGAUAUGAAAUUAGCGUGCGAUUAAUUCACGGUAAUUGCUGGUUAGCUACUACUGUCGCUGGUUUGGGUCCAAUCGCAAUGAUGUGUGUUGCUCGAUGUGGAUUGCUCAAUUUGUGGUAGCAUUUAUUUCUGAAUCUGGUCUCUAGGAUUGCACAGCUCACGUUGAGUGAUGUCAGGGACUCAAAAGAUUUGUGGAGGUUUAACAACGUGCUCAAGGUUUGAUAGGUUAGCAUCAUGCGGUAAAAUUUUCCUAUCUAGAUUAAGAUUACAUCUUUUUUUUUCCCCUUCGAACUUUCGGGGCAAUUUGAUGUGCUCUCUCUCAUUCAUGACUUCGUCUCUCAGUACUUUUAAUAUUAAAAUUUGUGUACUCAAGGAUGUUUGGCAAUGCUUGUUUUGUUGGAUAAUUGGUUAGCCCAGCGAAUGGAUUAUUUGAA